Molecule: ribosomal RNA, 585 nt
Filed under: uncultured bacterium
Lineage: Bacteria
Description: bacterial SSU rRNA
Rfam family: Bacterial small subunit ribosomal RNA
Source: RNAcentral
CCUACGGGAGGCAGCAGUGGGGAAUUUUGGACAAUGGGGGCAACCCUGAUCCAGCAAUGCCGCGUGAGUGAAGAAGGCCCUCGGGUUGUAAAGCUCUUUUGUCAGGGAAGAAACGGUGGUUCCUAAUACGAGCUGCUAAUGACGGUACCUGAAGAAUAAGCACCGGCUAACUACGUGCCAGCAGCCGCGGUAAUACGUAGGGUGCAAGCGUUAAUCGGAAUUACUGGGCGUAAAGCGUGCGCAGGCGGUUAUAUAAGACAGAGGUGAAAUCCCCGGGCUCAACCUGGGAACUGCCUUUGUGACUGUAUGGCUAGAGUGUGUCAGAGGGGGGUAGAAGUUCCACGCGUAGCAGUGAAAUGCGUAGAUAUGUGGAGGAAUACCGAUGGCGAAGGCAGCCCCCUGGGAUAACACUGACGCUCAUGCACGAAAGCGUGGGGAGCAAACAGGAUUAGAUACCCUGGUAGUCCACGCCCUAAACGAUGUCUACUAGUUGUCGGGACUUAAUUGUCUUGGUAACGCAGCUAACGCGUGAAGUAGACCGCCUGGGGAGUACGGUCGCAAGAUUAAAACUCAAAGGAUUGACGG